UACGUAGGCAGCAAGCGUUGUUCGGAGUUACUGGGCGUAAAGGGUGUGUAGGCGGCUUCGUAAGUUCGGUGUGAAAUCUCCUGGCUCAACUGGGAGGGUGCGCCGAAAACUGCGGAGCUGGAGCGCAGGAGAGGAAAGCAGAAUUCCUGGUGUAGCGGUGAAAUGCGCAGAUAUCAGGAGGAACACCGGUGGCGAAGGCGGAUCUCUGGGCCAUUACUGACGCUGAGGAGCGAAAGCGUGGGGAGCGAACAGG
This 253-nucleotide ribosomal RNA is filed under the name uncultured bacterium. RNAcentral's name for it is "partial 16S ribosomal RNA". It matches the Rfam family "Bacterial small subunit ribosomal RNA", at positions 524 to 776 of the family's 1533-position model. The record is from RNAcentral.